This 251-nucleotide ribosomal RNA is filed under the name uncultured Actinomycetales bacterium. RNAcentral's name for it is "partial 16S ribosomal RNA". It matches the Rfam family "Bacterial small subunit ribosomal RNA", at positions 82 to 334 of the family's 1533-position model. The record is from RNAcentral. Lineage: Bacteria; Bacillati; Actinomycetota; Actinomycetes; Actinomycetales.
CGGAGGUACUCGAGUGGCGAACGGGUGAGUAACACGUGAGUAACCUGCCCUUGACUUUGGGAUAACUUCAGGAAACUGGGGCUAAUACCGGAUAGGAGCUCCUGCUGCAUGGUGGGGGUUGGAAAGUUUCGGCGGUUGGGGAUGGACUCGCGGCUUAUCAGCUUGUUGGUGGGGUAGUGGCUUACCAAGGCUUUGACGGGUAGCCGGCCUGAGAGGGUGACAGGCCACAUUGGGACUGAGAUACGGCCCAG